This 266-nucleotide long non-coding RNA is filed under the name Mytilus galloprovincialis (Mediterranean mussel). The record is from RNAcentral. Lineage: Eukaryota; Metazoa; Mollusca; Bivalvia; Mytilida; Mytilidae.
GGAUUAUUGGUAUGAAAGUCAGUGAAGUACUGUUAUAGUUCAAUGUACUUUUCUGGUGGUAUAGGUAUAUAGUUACAAUUAAGCCAUAUAUUUCAAAUACUUUUCAAUACACUUUAGUCAUCAUUGCUUCAUACAAAACAUCAUUUGACAUCACAAAAAAGGGUACUUUCUGAAGCAUGAAAAAGGUGCCAGGAAAUGGCUAGAAUGCAGGAUUUUGCAUCAUUUACCCCAGAGCUUCUGGGGGCCUUGAGCAGCCCCCAGACCCC